Molecule: ribosomal RNA, 492 nt
Filed under: uncultured bacterium
Lineage: Bacteria
Description: partial 16S ribosomal RNA
Rfam family: Bacterial small subunit ribosomal RNA
Source: RNAcentral
AGUGAACGCUGGCGGUAGGCCUAACACAUGCAAGUCGAACGGCAGCACAGUAAGAGCUUGCUCUUACGGGUGGCGAGUGGCGGACGGGUGAGGAAUACAUCGGACUCUACUUUUUCGUGGGGGAUAACGUAGGGAAACUUACGCUAAUACCGCAUACGACCUACGGGUGAAAGCAGGUGAUCUUCGGACCUUGCGCGAUUGAAUGAGCCGAUGUCGGAUUAGCUAGUUGGCGGGGUAAAGGCCCACCAAGGCGACGAUCCGUAGCUGGUCUGAGAGGAUGAUCAGCCACACUGGAACUGAGACACGGUCCAGACUCCUACGGGAGGCAGCAGUGGGGAAUAUUGGACAAUGGGCGCAAGCCUGAUCCAGCCAUACCGCGUGGGUGAAGAAGGCCUUCGGGUUGUAAAGCCCUAUUGUUGGGAAAGAAAAGCAGCAGGUUAAUACCCCGCUGUUCUGACGGUACCCAAAGAAUAAGCACCGGCUAACUUCGUG